UAAGAAUGCAAUUAAUUACUCCGGCAGCCCAGCCAGACCAGCAGUCAGCGGUGCUCUCACUUGCAGCUUCUGGCUCUGCAGGCAUUUGUAGCUCAUGAGAAAAGAGCAGGCGCUUGAUGCUACAAAUAAUAAUAGACUGCUGAUGACAGAGACACAGGAGUUUUGUGAUUUUAUGAGAUGGCAAGGAGGAAAUAACCUUCUGCGGUAGAAGCCCCAUGGAUUGCCAGGCAUUAGGAGACUUCAGCCUCAACGCAGGAGAAACCCCAAAACAUAAUCAGCAAGAAUUGUCACUGACCUACUCCUGGCUGUGGGUCCUGACAGGAGAGAUCUUGGCAAGAGCGAGGCCCUACAUUACUGCUCAGCUCAUAGGAAAUGUAGUUAUAGAGUGAGUGUGUGUGUGUGUGUGUGCGCGCAGAACCACGUGUUGUGCCAGUAACAAGUAUGAUUUUUGCUUUCUGAACACCACGCCUCUGAAAUUUCCAGGAAGCUGCUCUUUGCUGCUGACAGUUGCUACAGAGGCGACUGCAGCAGUGAGAUGGUUUUUGUUCAUGCCUUCUUGUCUUCAUUAAUUUCCAGUCUGUCAUUUCAGCUGAAACUAUACAGUUGCUGUUAAUGUGUUCAAAACCAUGAUGUUGGCUAGGCGGCUAUUUAUGUCACAAUAAAUAUUUGAUGAGAAGGUGUGUUAUUUUUAGCCACAAACACAACAUAUUUUUGGGAUUUAUAGGCCUGAAAUAUAUCAUCCAACACACGAUCGUUUAUUACCUUUACAGUUUCCUGAGGGUUUUUUUCCAUUUUCCUUUGUAAUUUGAACUGGAGAGGUGGUGAUUCAGAGAGUGUUGGUAUGAACUGUUGCACAUAAGCUGCAUAGGAAGGGGAAAUGUCAAGCCUCAAAUAAUGGGUCCCAUGCUGGUGGGGGACACUGCAACAACUGAAGCAAUAAACCCAGAAAGGCUGUGUAAAUAUGUGAAUGUACAAAUGUAUCUCAAAGCCGUGAUUUUCAUAUUCCAGCAAUCACUGCCGUAGGAGUACGUGACUGACAGCACAAAGGACUUAGAUUUACGAUAGAGAGAUCUAAAUUGAUAAGCCGGUAGACAGCCAUCAUUCUUCCUUUAUUCUCUCUCUGUAUCCUGUGUCGUCUUCUGCUGGCAUAAUCAAAGCUGACAUAGCGCAUGCUAUACCAGGUUAUAUUUUUCGUAAUUAUAAGACAGUACAUGAGAUCUGAGGGUGUUAUUCAGGAAAUGGCACAAAGCUCACUGAAAUACAGGUUUUCAGAGUGAUCCCCUGAUAAUAUUGUUUUUCACAUAGAUUCUUGAUACUUGGACUCUACGACUAUGUCUUUAAGCUGUCUGGGUGCUUUAAGAAGGGAUAAAGACAGUGGAAAAAAUGAGGGAGCUUUUCCUUUUCGCAGGAAAAUGUACCAAAUGGGAGAUAAUAGUUUCUAAAAAAGUGUGUGUGUGAGAGAGACCUAACUUCGGAGGAAGAGGUAAAAGAAGUCAGGACACCAAAACAGAGAUCAUCUGGAAAGUCCUAAAAGAGCAAUCAGCCUCCCCCUUAGCACUGACUGGUGUGGCACACUUGUGUCUUGAGACUGAAGGGUCCUUUUCCACUGAUCCCAUCACAUUAGGCUCAGCUGCCUCUGACUUUAACUGCAAUGUUAUUAGAGCUAAAGAGAACAGACUGUGAGAUACAAUAAAGUUAUAAUAGAUG
Phalacrocorax carbo (great cormorant) is the source of this 1707-nucleotide non-coding RNA. The record is from RefSeq and is a predicted model, not a curated record. NCBI's taxonomy places the organism in Eukaryota, Metazoa, Chordata, Aves, Suliformes, Phalacrocoracidae.